RNAcentral lists this long non-coding RNA (208 nucleotides) under Lathyrus oleraceus (garden pea). Its description in RNAcentral is "Pisum sativum (pea) long non-coding RNA (PSAT_LNC015185)". Lineage: Eukaryota; Viridiplantae; Streptophyta; Magnoliopsida; Fabales; Fabaceae. The record is from RNAcentral.
GCCGUUCAUUCUCCCUUUUGGACGGAGCAUGAGGAUAAGGAAGGUUUUGGAUAGGAGUAGCGCUCACUACCUCCUUUCCCUUUGCAACUCUAGCACUCUUCCAUCUAGGCUUUUUCACUACCUCCCUUAUUACCUCAUCACUUGUAUUUUCCUCAAUCUCCACACCUUUUUUCUUUUCAACUUCACCAUUAUUUUUAUUCUUUUCAAC